GUGAGGAAUUUUCCGCAAUGGGUGAAAGCCUGACGGAGCAAUGCCGCGUGAAGGAUGAAGGCCUAUGGGUUGUAAACUUCUUUUCUCAGAAAAGAAUUAUGACGGUAUCUGAGGAAUAAGCAUCGGCUAACUCUGUGCCAGCAGCCGCGGUAAGACAGAGGAUGCAAGCGUUAUCCGGAAUGAUUGGGCGUAAAGCGUCUGUAGGUUGUUUAAAAAGUAUUCUGUCAAAGAUUAGGGCUUAACCCUAGAUAGGCAGAAUAAACUUUUAAGCUAGAGUUUGGUAGAGGCAGAGGGAAUUCCCGGUGGAGCGGUGAAAUGCGUAGAUAUCGGGAGGAACACCAAAGGCGAAGGCACUCUGCUGGGCCAAUACUAACACUGAGAGACGAAAGCGAGGGGAGCAAAUGGGAUUAGAAACCCCAGUAGUCC
RNAcentral lists this ribosomal RNA (426 nucleotides) under uncultured bacterium. Its description in RNAcentral is "partial 16S ribosomal RNA". It matches the Rfam family "Bacterial small subunit ribosomal RNA", at positions 354 to 796 of the family's 1533-position model. The record is from RNAcentral.